This 414-nucleotide ribosomal RNA is filed under the name uncultured soil bacterium. RNAcentral's name for it is "bacterial SSU rRNA". It matches the Rfam family "Bacterial small subunit ribosomal RNA", at positions 26 to 438 of the family's 1533-position model. The record is from RNAcentral.
AGGUUGAACGCUGGCGGCAUGCCUUACACAUGCAAGUCGAACGGCAGCACGGGAGCAAUCCUGGUGGCGAGUGGCGAACGGGUGAGUAAUAUAUCGGAACGUGCCCAGUCGUGGGGAUAACGCAGCGAAAGCUGUGCUAAUACCGCAUACGAUCUAUGGAUGAAAGCGGGGGAUCGCAAGACCUCGCGCGAUUGGAGCGGCCGAUAUCAGAUUAGCUAGUUGGUGGGUAAAGCCUACCAAGGCGACGAUCUGUAGCUGGGUCUGAGAGGACGACCAGCCACACGUGGAACUGAGACACGGUCCAGACUCCUACGGGAGCGAGCGAGGUGGGGUAAUUUGGACAAGUGGGCGACGAAGCCGUGAUCCAGCCAAGUCGCCGCGUCGACGAGGAUAGGAACGGUCCGUUACGGGUUA